GACGAACGCUGGCGGCGUGCUUAACACAUGCAAGUCGAACGGAAAGGCCCUGCUUUUGUGGGGUGCUCGAGUGGCGAACGGGUGAGUAACACGUGAGUAACCUGCCCUUGACUUUGGGAUAACUUCAGGAAACUGGGGCUAAUACCGGAUAGGAGCUCCUGCUGCAUGGUGGGGGUUGGAAAGCUUCGGCGGUUGGGGAUGGACUCGCGGCUUAUCAGCUUGUUGGUGGGUAGUGGCUUACCAAGGCUUUGACGGGUAGCCGGCCUGAGAGGGUGACCGGCCACAUUGGGACUGAGAUACGGCCCAGACUCCUACGGGAGGCAGCAGUGGGGAAUAUUGCACAAUGGGCGGAAGCCUGAUGCAGCAACGCCGCGUGCGGGAUGACGGCCUUCGGGUUGUAAACCGCUUUCGCCUGUGACGAAGCGUGAGUGACGGUAAUGGGUAAAGAAGCACCGGCUAACUACGUG
This 467-nucleotide ribosomal RNA is filed under the name uncultured bacterium. RNAcentral's name for it is "partial 16S ribosomal RNA". It matches the Rfam family "Bacterial small subunit ribosomal RNA", at positions 28 to 507 of the family's 1533-position model. The record is from RNAcentral.